Molecule: ribosomal RNA, 455 nt
Filed under: uncultured bacterium
Lineage: Bacteria
Description: bacterial SSU rRNA
Rfam family: Bacterial small subunit ribosomal RNA
Source: RNAcentral
UACGGGAGGCAGCAGGGGGAAUAUUGCACAAUGGGCGAAAGCCUGAUGCAGCUAUGCCGCGUGUAUGAAGAAGGCCUUAGGGUUGUAAAGUACUUUCAUCGGGGAGGAAAAACAAAACUAAUAAUUUUAUUUCUUGACGUUACCCGAAAAAGAAGCACCGGCUAACUCCGUGCCAGCAGCCGCGGUAAUACGGAGGGUGCUAGCGUUAAUCAGAAUUACUGGGCGUAAAGAGCACGUAGGUGGUUUUUUUAAGUCAGAUGUGAAAUCCCUGGGCUUAACCUAGGAACUGCAUUUUGAAACUGAAAUACUAGAGUAUCGUAGAGGGAGGUAGAAUUCUAGGUGUAGCGGUGAAAUGCGUAGAUAUCUGGAGGAAUACCUGUGGCGAAAGCGGCCUCCUAAACGAAUACUGACACUGAGGGUGCGAAAGCGUGGGGAGCAAACAGGGAUUAGAUACC